UUUUGUGGGGAGCUUAUUAGUCAUUUCCGACAUAUAAGCAAUUUACAAACUCCUCCUUCAACAAACGCCUUGUCCUAAGACUGAAACUAAUGAUUUUCUUUCCGUGUUUUCUUCGAUUUUCUGUCAGAAAUCCAACAAAUCUUGAGAGAAAUGCAUAAAGGACGUACGAUACGUUCUACCAACUCUAUCAGAUAACUGCCUCCAUUUUCGGCCGAAAAAUUCGAUGUCUUCGGUUGAGCGGGACAAAGAUAAAGGGCUAAAAUUCAAUUCCCCUCCUCUAUCGCUGAAGAGAGAAGCCGCUGCUCUUAACGAAUAAGGUUGAUGUUGCGGAUCAUGGGAAUAGUGACUUUUUUGACCCACUGAGAGGAUUGGCUGAUAAUGCAAUCUGAAGAGGAUUUGUGUAGCGACCAGCUACCUUUCAACAUUUUUUUUUGAAAGCUGUGCAUGCUAUUCUAACACAUAUCUGCACCUAUUAUCUCAUAACAUCGUAAUAACAUUUCAUAUUAGAAAUUACAUUCUAGCAGCGGAAACAUCUAACAUAUUACAUGAAGUAGCACCACAGUGCUGACAUUAAACAUCUAUAUUAUAAAGUUUAACUGUCUUUACAUAAUACAACUGUGGCUAUACAAAGUGUCUCAUGUGACACAAGCCGUAUAUAUCGUAAGUGUUUAUAUACAUGCCCAAUAAUGAAUCAAAGCAUUACUGAAACA
Molecule: long non-coding RNA, 710 nt
Organism: Alnus glutinosa
Lineage: Eukaryota; Viridiplantae; Streptophyta; Magnoliopsida; Fagales; Betulaceae
Exons: 2
Source: RefSeq, a predicted model, not a curated record